AGAGUUUGAUCCUGGCUCAAUUGAACGCUGGCGGCAUGCCUAACACAUGCAAGUCGAACGGCAGCGCGGAGGAGCCCGUGCCUUGGGGGGGGAGAGGGGGACGGAUGGGGAAUACAUCCAAAUCUGCUCGGGCGAGGGGGAUGACAUAGGGUGGCUAAUACCGCUACCGACCAAGAGCAAAAGGUGGAAGACCGGGAUGCCUCGACCCGAAGGAUGAGAAUAUGGCGGAGUCCUUUGUGUAGGGAUAAAGGCCCAAGACGGCGACGAUCCACAAUCCGUCUGGGGGGAUGAACGAUGACCCUGCGACUGAGAACUGAAACACACUCCUAACUCCGGCAGGAGGCAGCAAUGUUGAAUAUUGGGCAAAGGGCGCAAGCCUGAUCCCCCCGUGCGGCAAGAAUGAAGAAGGGCUGCGGGUUGUAUUUCCCUUUUGUUAAAAAAGAAAUCCAACCGGCUGAUCCCGGUGUGGGAUGACGAUAAACAAACAACAGCCAACUUCU
Molecule: ribosomal RNA, 500 nt
Filed under: uncultured bacterium
Lineage: Bacteria
Description: partial 16S ribosomal RNA
Rfam family: Bacterial small subunit ribosomal RNA
Source: RNAcentral